UGAAUUUCGGGGUCAAUAGGUCGGUCAUGCCACAGGUAUGUACUGGUCACACUGGUUCCUACCUUCUGACGAACCGUCAUGUCAUUAAUUUGGUGUGGCGGGGAAUCAGGACUGUUACUUUGAAAAAAUUAGAGUGUUUAAAGCAGGCUCGCGCUUGAAUACAUUAGCAUGGAAUAAUGAAAUAGGACGUUCGAUCCUAUUUUGUUGGUUUCUAGGAUUGACGUAAUGAUUAAUAGGGAUAGUUGGGGGCAUUAGUAUUCAAUUGUCAGAGGUGAAAUUCUUGGAUUUAUUGAAGACUAACUACUGCGAAAGCAUUUGCCAAGGAUGUUUUCAUUAAUCAAGAACGAAAGUUAGGGGAUCGAAGACGAUCAGAUACC
This 377-nucleotide ribosomal RNA is filed under the name uncultured Glomus. RNAcentral's name for it is "SSU rRNA". It matches the Rfam family "Eukaryotic small subunit ribosomal RNA", at positions 635 to 1016 of the family's 1831-position model. The record is from RNAcentral. Lineage: Eukaryota; Fungi; Glomeromycota; Glomeromycetes; Glomerales; Glomeraceae.